GGUUCCAUAGUAUAACGGUUAGUACACAGGACUCUGAAUCCUGUAAUGGGAGUUCGAUUCUCCCUGGAACCU
This 72-nucleotide transfer RNA is filed under the name Yellowstone lake phycodnavirus 1. It matches the Rfam family "tRNA". Rfam says of the family: Transfer RNA (tRNA) molecules are approximately 80 nucleotides in length. Their secondary structure includes four short double-helical elements and three loops (D, anti-codon, and T loops). Lineage: Varidnaviria; Bamfordvirae; Nucleocytoviricota; Megaviricetes; Algavirales; Phycodnaviridae. The record is from Rfam by way of RNAcentral.